RNAcentral lists this ribosomal RNA (301 nucleotides) under uncultured bacterium. Its description in RNAcentral is "partial 16S ribosomal RNA". It matches the Rfam family "Bacterial small subunit ribosomal RNA", at positions 509 to 809 of the family's 1533-position model. The record is from RNAcentral.
CAGUAGCCGCGGUAGUACGGAGGGGGCUAGCGUUGUUCGGAAUUACUGGGCGUAAAGCGCACGUAGGCGGCUUGGUAAGUUAGAGGUGAAAGCCCGGAGCUCAACUCCGGAAUUGCCUUUAAGACUGCCGAGCUAGUAGGUGAGAGAGGUAAGUGGAAUUCCGAGUGUAGAGGUGAAAUUCGUAGAUAUUCGGAAGAACACCAGUGGCGAAGGCGGCUUACUGGCUCAUUCUAGACGCUGAGGUGCGAAAGCGUGGGGAGCAAACAGGAUUAGAUACCCCUGUAGUCCCUGUCUCUUAUCU